Chlorocebus sabaeus (green monkey) is the source of this 4165-nucleotide long non-coding RNA. RefSeq lists it as uncharacterized. The record is from RefSeq and is a predicted model, not a curated record. NCBI's taxonomy places the organism in Eukaryota, Metazoa, Chordata, Mammalia, Primates, Cercopithecidae.
AAAACUUGGGUGCAAGUAGUUUAUUUGGGAAAUGAUCCCAGGAAGCACAAAUGGUGCGGGUGGGGAGGGGCGCGUGCUCAUGAGUAUGUUACUGCUGUGGGUGAAGGGUGGCUUGGUCUUGCUGAGGACCCUUGAGAGAACAUGAAGACGACCCCUCAACAUCGUACCACUCACUGAGAGAUGGGGCAGCUGAGAUAUUUACCUGCCCUCUCCCAUCUUUCAUUGAUUGAGAGUUGUCCUUCCGGGCAUAAAAUUUCAGCUAUUUUCAAAAUGCCAUGCAGGUGGGCUAAACAAGCUCCUACAGCCCCUGGAGAAAGCCACGAAGAGGAAAAGCAAAGAACGAGGAGUUUUGGGGUGGGAAGCUGUCAGUGCUGCAGGUAAACUUGGGUGACUGAAGACGAUGGGGCAGGGCAGCCACAGCACCUACUGCCAUGGUGACUUGGCCACCAUUAUAAGUAGAUGCGACCAUACAACCAAGGACAGCCAAGGGUGGACCCGAGCUCCCUCUCCGGAAAUUCUGCCUGACUUCAGAAUGGGGUGAACAGCAGGGAGAAUGAACAUUUUCUUUGCUUUCUCUCCUCCCUCCUUUCUUUUAUCUAGAUAAGCCAGCCAGUCAGCUGCCUAUGAGGAUGAGGAGAAACUGGGGCAAAGUUUAAGGAUGUCCCAAAGGCUGGGUGGCCUUCAGUCCGUGAAAGAGAACACAUCUGUUCUAUCGCAGGCCGAGGUCAUCUGCAUCCUCAUCAAUAAGCUAAGUGAGCACUCAUGACCUUCCAGACACGGUGCCUACACGCUCUAAAUGCAUGGUCUCCUUUAUUCUCAGCAACUUUCUGAGAUAAGUGCUGUUAGCAUUCCCAUUCCGCAGAGGAACAAACCAAGGCUCUGAGAAGAAGUAAUUUGCUCAAGACCUCACGGCCUGGGAUCAUGGGUGUGAAUCAUCUGGGUGAAUGAUGAGGUCAAAUCCCAAGUCCAUGUUUAUGACACUUAGAAAUAGCCAUUUACGUGUCCUUUUAAGGGUCAAAACCAUUUAGAGGUUUUAUCUGUUUCUUACAGUCUUCGAAGAAGUUUAACACAUUAUAAUAAAUAUCUCCCAGAUAGCUCAGGUCACUCAGUGAAUAUUAGUUGAAUUGCUUUUGUAUUAGAUCCUACCUGCAGCCAAAAUAUAAAUCUGACUAUGUCACCCUCCAGCUCAAAUAUCUUUCAUAGCUCCCCAUUGCCCUCCAGAGACAAUUUAAACUCGUUACUAUGGACUCUUUACUCCAAGUCCUUGAGAUCCAUCUGUGCCACCUCCCCAGCUUCCAUCCUCUGAUCCGUUCUCCCCACAGUCUCACUUCAGCCAUGCUAAGCUACCUGCCAUUCUCUCCAUGGACCCUGGGCUCUUACACUUGCUGUUCUUCUGGGAGCUCUUUUGUCCAACGCUUAUUCAUUUUGUGUGAGUUAACUCAACUGUCACCUCCCCAAAGUGGCCAACCUCCACCCCCUGUGGUCUUGCGCCAGUGCCUUCCCCUGAGUCCCACGACAUCCUGCAUUUGCUUCUCUUACAUCGUAUUAUUAUUGUUUUUUUGCCUGCCUGUCUCUCCCACAGACACGAAAGCAAGCGUUUAUGUACUUAGGUUGGAUUUGAACCUUGGCUGUGCCAUGUGUGUUCUUGGGCAAAGUCGUUUUCUCUCUCUGAGCCUUAGUUUCCUCAUCUGUGAAAUAAGCAGUGAACAAGGUUAAGUCAUGUGACACACAAUACCUGGCAUAUAGUGAGGUUCAGUGCUAGCUUUUACUCUGUAUGCAUCUUCAGGGCCUGUCUUUGGACCAAACACGCUGCUGAUGCUCAAUGAAGUGGUAGCUCUACCUGGACCAGUGGUUUUCACAUUUUCUCCUUCAUUGGAACCACCUGAGGGGUUGCUAAAACACAGGUUACUGAGUCCCAUCCCAGGAGUUUUUGAUUGUGCAGGUAUGGAGCGGGGCUUGAGAAUUUGCAUUCCUAAUAUGUUUUCAGGUGGUGCUGAGGCUGCUUGGUCCUGGGACUGUACUUUUAGAACCAUUGGGCUGGUUGCCUGGGAAGGGUAGGUGUCUGGUUAGGGUGAUCAGGUAUUCGGAGUUAAAACAAAUUCACGCUAGAGGAUAAGGCGAUCCACAAUGGGUGUGGCCACAGGAUAUUUGUUUAUCAAUGUAUCCAUUCAACCAAUAUUUGUUGAGUAUCUACCGUGUCCAGGCAUUGUGCUAGACACUGACAACAGAACAGUGAAUGAGCAAGACAAGAAGGUCCAGAUCUUGAUAAGUUCACAGUCUAGUGGCCCUGCUUUGGAAGUGGGGACCGUCAUUACACAAAUCCCCUAAGUGUGAAUUGAAGGGGCAUAGUUAGUUUGGGGAAUGGUGAGCCUUAAAAACACUGAUAUCAAUAAUGGCUUUCCUGUCUACCGCAUCAUUGUAUUGCCUUCUCAACAAUGAUUUCACCAAAAUGACUCAUUGAAACUGAUUAUGGUAUUCCCAAAUCCCCUUGCCUGGAACUGCAGCCAUCGUUCAGCACAGUUUUAGGAUGAAGUCAGCCCAUGGAACAUGGCAGAAUGGAGUGUCAGAGAACCAGAGCCAGGCUGUGAGACUUAACACCAGCUAUAUGAAAAGAUACAUUUCCUCAUUAUCGUUGUUAGCUGGAACAGAGUCUCAGAGAAUCAAAGCCAAAGAUGUUAUACAACACCUAUUAUAUGAAAUGAUAAAUACCCUUAUUGUUAUGAUUAUCUGCCAGUUCAAGUAGGGGUUUUCUGUUACUUGGUGCUAAAAUUUCCCCAUGAUAGAAUAGCUUGCCUUUCCUAAGUGCUUACAAUGUGCCAGCCACUGCAAUAAAUGUUUGGUAGGCACCAUCUCACUGCAUGCUGACAGCAACUCCACGAGUAGGCUCUAUUAUUAGCCCAUUGUUGAGGGAGGACACUCAGAGUUUAAAUCACUUGCUCUCUAUUUGGGAGUGGAGAAGAUGAGAGGUAAGGCAGGAUGGGCCAGUAAGGAUUAUUUAAAUGCACUGCAAUGACACCAACUUAAACGUUUUGCAAUCACACAAUCUUCCUUGAGCUUCUUCCAAGAUGGAGCGGAUAAGGAUGGAAACACAAACCAACCAACCUUAUCUUCGUUUGGAGGACUGAGAAUCGUAGAAGGCAACUGACUUGCCCAGUUCAGCUUUCUCGUUCUAGUUCUCCUCAUUAAACUCGACUGCUUUCUAGAAGUUAAUCAACAAAUACACUCUCAGGCUGCUUUGGCCCAGUUUCCUGAUUAGGCAAUGAGGGAAAAAGGGCUAGGCGCUGUAGAACCCCAGGUCCUGCAGCUCCCCCAUGUGGCCGUAUUUUGACAAAAGCAUGCUUUUGGGAGAGUAGCUCACGUAAGGAACCAGCCCUUCCAUGGCUGUCAUAGCAGAAGUGCAGCUGGGGGCCAUUUUGUCAAGAAGUGCUCAUUUGGAAAAACAAAACAAAACAAAAAACGAAAAAGAAAAAAUCUAUACAGGUGCAUGCCAGUCCCCCGGUGAUGAAAUGUAACAAAGGAAGCACUUAAGUUCAGUGAGGGAAAUACAGCUUAAAUUACAGAUUGUACCCAGAGCACUUUAUAAACGGUAAUGUGUGACAAUGUAUUAUCCUUACUUCUGUGAAAUUGUGAACUGCAACUUCUACCCGGGCCAGUUAAAGGGCCAGGAGAUGGAGAGGGUUGCGUGAAUACCGUUCAAGAAAAGGGCAACAGAGGCUAAGGGGUUAAACUCCCCAGCAAACCAAUUUAUGCAAAGGGCUGGAUCCUGACCGGCAUUCUGCGCUAAAGAUCUGAAUUACAAAUUUAGAGAAUUUGCUGCUCGGUAUAAGAUCUACUUGGAAUUCUCUGACAUAGGAAAUAACAUUGCCAGAUUCAGACGAUGAAUGCAGGAAGGACCUCACUGGCUGCUGGGAACAACUGCCCUUUUGAAUGAAUUCUUUUAUGGUUACCAGUCAAAAAGUCACCGUCAGCUGGAACUGGAAGGGAGGGGUGUGUGUGUGUGUGUGUGUGUGUGUGUGUGUGCAGUGGCAGCCAUUUCAGCUCAAUAGCUCCAUUCCUGGAAAGGCCACUUCUUCUUGACAUGGGAGAAGACACGCUUCCCUGUGUACCUAAAAAUAAAUAAUAAGUCAAUAAAUAAUAAUGAUAAUAAAGGCAUUUUUGCUCCCUC